Molecule: long non-coding RNA, 2599 nt
Filed under: Mus musculus (house mouse)
Lineage: Eukaryota; Metazoa; Chordata; Mammalia; Rodentia; Muridae
Description: long non-coding RNA chr10:59702616-59705215
Source: RNAcentral
AUUUGCGUCUCUAUGGUUGUCAGAGGUGGGCGGCAUUCUCCGAGUUGCUGCUAAAGCUGGAGCGCGGACGGGUGAGUGUGAGGAAUCUGAUCGCCUGGAGGCGAGUUUAGGGGAGGGGAAGUCGGCGCAUUUUGGGGACGAGCCUUUCGUGUGGCUCUGAGAUCCGGCCACUUUUCAGGUCCGCCAGGGACUGCUGCUGUCUUGGUGAUGCUGUUGGUGAUAUGCUGAGGGGACUCUCGGUCCUCCGCUCCCUUCACCCUAUCACCCCUUAUCCCUGUCAGGGAGAACUUGUAGUGCCCGGCUUCUAGCCUCAGAGUGCAUCCUCUCCACCUGCGGCCAGGACACACUAGUUCUCCCGGAAUUCGUGGAUGUGGUCAGAAGUAGAUGGAGGAGUUUAGAGCUGUGACAGAAAGAUAGAUAAAUACAUGUAUUGGGGAUAGAGAAGAUGGGGCGGGGGGAUCAUUGGCCUUUUAGAAAAGCAAAACAAACUGCAGACUUCUCGGACUGUUCCGUUUUUUAUCCUCACCAGCAACUUCGCGUUCUCAUUCUCCCUUUCUCUGUCUGUGCCCAGUCCCAGUCGGGGCUACCCACACGAUGUUUCGAGAAUGAGCCAGGUAUUACUGAUUAUGUGGGAUGCUAGAAGAAGAGUUUAAGGCGGACUGUGUUUUAUAAUAAGUUGUCACCUUUAUAAAUCCGAGGUUUUGUCUACAGUCCCUUUCAGGUGCUUGAAGUGCAAAUAUUUGUGCAUGUAAAUAAAUAAUUAAGAUUAAAUAAUUUUCUUCCUGAGACAUUUUGGAAAGACCUAUUUUUUUCCCGCUUGUUUAUAAAUACAUGUUUUGAUCCACUUCUGGGAUGACUCCCUUAAUAAACCUCUGUUUACUUUAAAGCAGUCAGUAGGGUCAGACAGGGAGGUGAUUUAACAGCAUUAGAAAGGAGUGUGUGCUGGAGAUGAAACACAUCUGUUGGGGAGUUUAGGUUUCACUGAUUGUCAGCCUUUGAGACAUAACAAACAGUUGGCGGACUCGACCAUCCUGAAUGUUUGCCGGUGUGGACAAUGUGAUGCUUGUUUAGAAUCUUAUCCUAAAGAGUUUAGAAUGCCACUUAUCCGGGAAGAUGUUCUGGCCACCAGUUACUUUGUUUUGUUUGAAUUCUUUUUUGUUCUGUUUUUUUUUUUUGAGGUAGGUUCCCCACCCCCAUCACUAGGUUUGGCCUUAAAGUCUGAAUCUUUCUGUCUCUGCCAACUGAAUGGUGGGUGGGAUUACAGGCCUGCCCAGACCUUACAGACUUCAAUGGGUUCGGUCCCCACUUCUCAUCAAUCUUUGAUUCUGUUUUGCUUAAAGACAUCACCCUGGCUACCUACUGAUGCCAAGAAAGAGUCAUCAACACCUAAGUAUCCGCACAGGGGUCAUAACAUUCAAAAUAAUAUUAGCAGAAAGUGAAGAUUCUGGAAUGGCUGGUGUGCCUGGAGAGAAUGAUAGGAGCCAAUGAUAAAGCCAAUUCUGGUAAAAGCAAGAGCAUCACUGCCUUUAUUAUAGUUUCAUGGAGUGGUUACUGUAUUCAGUAAAUCCAUCCAUCCAUCUGUCCGUCUGUCUGUCCAUCCACCCAUCUAUUGAUACAGUGUUUCACUGUGUUGCCCAAGCUGGCCUUGAACUCCUAGGUAUAAACACCCUGCCUCAGGCUCUGUAACUUGCUUUCUUAUGCUUAGAGGAAAAAAAAACUAAUAAUACAUAAUUCCUCAUGUAAUUGAAUAUCACAUGAAAUAAUUAUAACCGUUAUAUUUAACUGAACAACUACUUUAGACCUUUGUAGUCAUUUUAAAGACUCAAGUAAUUAAUGAUGCUCUCCCCGCCAACCCCCACAGUUGGCUGAAUAUUUAAUGGCAGUCUUCUGCCUCAGGCUCCUGAGUGCUGGGAUUAUAGGCAUGUGCCACCAGGCUGGCAGUAAAGCCAUAUAUAUGUAUGUAUAUUAUAUGUAUGUAUAUACACACACACAUAUAUAUACACACAUACAUAUACACACACAUACACACAACAUAUAUACAUACAACAUAUAUAUGUAUAUAUAUGUUUACUUUUAAACUGCAAAGUUAGUUUUAGCUCUUGAACAGUUUCAACAGUAUUGAAAGCACAAGCUAAAUACUCUCCAUUUUCCCCCAAAGAGUUAUCUGGUAUACUUCCUUUUAUAUAAAAGUACUUUUUAAAAAAAAGGUUUACCACAAUAUCCCCCCAACUUCUAAUAGAAAGAGCUUCCUUUGAUGCCAAAAAAGGGAGUGGAUUCCUUUCCAGGUGCUCUGAUUUAGUGUUUCAUGAGGGGAAAAAAUGUUAAUUCUUUAAAAACACUAAAUGUUACUCUCUGGGCAUGUGUUAGACACCUGAGAAGUAUCUUGAAAUGGUUUUGUUUCUUCUUAUAAAAACAGUGUGUCCUGUUCAAAAGUGGGAACAUUACAAAACCUGUAACAUUGGGCUGAGUGUGGCGGUGCAGGUCUUUAAUCUGAGCUCUCCAGAGGCAGAGGCUGUCAGACGUCUUUUGAGUUCCACACCAUCCUGGUCCACAUAGUGAAUUUCAGGCCAUCCAGCGCUACAUAGUAACACCAUGUCUC